This 74-nucleotide microRNA precursor is filed under the name Alligator mississippiensis (American alligator). RNAcentral describes it as "mir-148/mir-152 microRNA precursor family". It matches the Rfam family "mir-148/mir-152 microRNA precursor family". From Rfam's summary of the family: The hairpin precursors (represented here) are predicted based on base pairing and cross-species conservation -- their extents are not known. In this case the mature sequence is excised from the 3' arm of the hairpin. The record is from Rfam by way of RNAcentral. Lineage: Eukaryota; Metazoa; Chordata; Crocodylia; Alligatoridae.
CUCAGCUCAGGUUCUGUGGUACACUUGGACUCGGACUCUGGAGCAGUCAGUGCAUGACAGAACUUGGGUUUGGA